UGUAUCUGAAGUCUGACGAGGAUGAGAAGCUCCGGGGGCAAGAGGUUCGACUCGAGCGAAGCGAGAGAACGUUGCGUCAGCAACGGCCCGCAGGGCGAGCCACGCAGUGGCGAGUCAUCCUCUAUCACCGACCA
Molecule: small RNA, 134 nt
Filed under: Salmonella enterica subsp. enterica serovar Gatineau
Lineage: Bacteria; Pseudomonadati; Pseudomonadota; Gammaproteobacteria; Enterobacterales; Enterobacteriaceae
Description: RtT sRNA
Rfam family: RtT RNA
About the family: This family represents a bacterial cis-regulatory element known as RtT RNA. The exact function of RtT is unknown although it is thought that it may be involved in changing the cellular response in relation to amino acid starvation.
Source: RNAcentral